Molecule: ribosomal RNA, 442 nt
Filed under: uncultured bacterium
Lineage: Bacteria
Description: partial 16S ribosomal RNA
Rfam family: Bacterial small subunit ribosomal RNA
Source: RNAcentral
CCUACGGGUGGCUGCAGUGGGGAAUAUUGGGCAAUGGGCGCAAGCCUGACCCAGCAACGCCGCGUGAAGGAAGAAGGCUUUCGGGUUGUAAACUUCUUUUCUGGGGGACGAACAAAUGACGGUACCCCAGGAAUAAGCCACGGCUAACUACGUGCCAGCAGCCGCGGUAAUACGUAGGUGGCAAGCGUUUUCCGGAUUUAUUGGGGGUAAAGGGCGUGUAGGCGGGAAUGCAAGUCAGUUGUGAAAACUCAGGGCUCAACCCUGGGCCUGCAUUUGAAACUGUGUUUCUUGAGUGCUGGAGGGGCAAUCGGAAUUCCGUGUGUAGCGGUGAAAUGCGUAGAUAUACGGAGGAACACCAGUGGCGAAGGCGAAUUGCUGGACAGUAACUGACGCUGAGGCGCGAAAGCGUGGGGAGCAGACAGGAUUAGAUACCCUGGUAGUC